RNAcentral lists this non-coding RNA (28 nucleotides) under Homo sapiens (human). Lineage: Eukaryota; Metazoa; Chordata; Mammalia; Primates; Hominidae. The record is from RNAcentral.
UGAGCGAGUGGGUGUGUGUGCAAAGAUG